GAUGAACGCUGGCGGCGUGCUUAACACAUGCAAGUCGAACGGAGAGGCUCCUGCUUGCAGGGGUACUCGAGUGGCGAACGGGUGAGUAACACGUGGGUGAUCUGCCCUGCACUUCGGGAUAAGCCUGGGAAACUGGGUCUAAUACCGGAUAGGACGAUGGUUUGGAUGCCAUUGUGGAAAGUUUUUCGGUGUGGGAUGAGCUCGCGGCCUAUCGGCUUGUUGGUGGGGUAAUGGCCUACCAAGGCGUCGACGGGUAGCCGGCCUGAGAGGGUGUACGGCCACAUUGGGACUGAGAUACGGCCCAGACUCCUACGGGAGGCAGCAGUGGGGAAUAUUGCACAAUGGGCGCAAGCCUGAUGCAGCGACGCCGCGUGGGGGAUGACGGCCUUCGGGUUGUAAACUCCUUUCGCUAGGGACGAAGCGCAAGUGACGGUACCUGGAGAAGAAGCACCGGCUAACUACGUG
RNAcentral lists this ribosomal RNA (465 nucleotides) under uncultured bacterium. RNAcentral's name for it is "partial 16S ribosomal RNA". It matches the Rfam family "Bacterial small subunit ribosomal RNA", at positions 28 to 507 of the family's 1533-position model. The record is from RNAcentral.